RNAcentral lists this ribosomal RNA (429 nucleotides) under Gemmatimonadota bacterium. RNAcentral describes it as "Gemmatimonadetes bacterium partial 16S ribosomal RNA". It matches the Rfam family "Bacterial small subunit ribosomal RNA", at positions 355 to 776 of the family's 1533-position model. Lineage: Bacteria; Pseudomonadati; Gemmatimonadota. The record is from RNAcentral.
UAGGGAAUCUUCGGCAAUGGACGAAAGUCUGACCGAGCAACGCCGCGUGAGUGAAGAAGGUUUUCGGAUCGUAAAACUCUGGUGUUAGAGAAGAACAAGGACGUUAGUAACUGAACGUCCCCUGACGGUAUCUAACCAGAAAGCCACGGCUAACUACGUGCCAGCAGCCGCGGUAAUACGUAGGUGGCAAGCGUUGUCCGGAUUUAUUGGGCGUAAAGCGAGCGCAGGCGGUUUCUUAAGUCUGAUGUGAAAGCCCCCGGCUCAACCGGGGAGGGUCAUUGGAAACUGGGAGACUUGAGUGCAGAAGAGGAGAGUGGAAUUCCAUGUGUAGCGGUGAAAUGCGUAGAUAUAUGGAGGAACACCAGUGGCGAAGGCGGCUCUCUGGUCUGUAACUGACGCUGAGGCUCGAAAGCGUGGGGAGCAAACAGG